UACGAAGGGUGCAAGCGUUACUCGGAAUUACUGGGCGUAAAGCGUGCGUAGGCGGUUCGUUAAGUCUGAUGUGAAAGCCCUGGGCUCAACCUGGGAAUGGCAUUGGAAACUGGCGACCUAGAGUGCGGUAGAGGGUAGUGGAAUUCCCGGUGUAGCAGUGAAAUGCGUAGAGAUCGGGAGGAACAUCAGUGGCGAAGGCGACUACCUGGACCGGCACUGACACUGAGGCACGAAAGCGUGGGGAGCAAACAGG
RNAcentral lists this ribosomal RNA (253 nucleotides) under uncultured bacterium. RNAcentral describes it as "partial 16S ribosomal RNA". It matches the Rfam family "Bacterial small subunit ribosomal RNA", at positions 524 to 776 of the family's 1533-position model. The record is from RNAcentral.